GGCUCAGGACGAACGCUGCGGCGUGCCUAAUACAUGCAAGUCAACGGUCUUUCUAUGGAAGCUGCUUCCACUGAGAAGAUAGUGGCGAACGGGUGAGUAACACGUGGGGUAACCUGCCCAUAAGAGGGGGGAUAACAUCCGGAAACGGGUGCUAAUACCGCAUAGUUUUCUUGAUCGCAUGAUCGGGAAAGGAAAGACGGCCUUUGUGCUGUCGCUUAUGGAUGGACCCGCGGCGUAUUAGUUAGUUGGUGAGGUAACGGCUCACCAAGACGAUGAUACGUAGCCGACCUGAGAGGGUGAUCGGCCACAUUGGGACUGAGACACGGCCCAAACUCCUACGGGAGGCAGCAGUAGGGAAUCUUCCGCAAUGGACGAAAGUCUGACGGAGCAACCCCGCGUGAGUGAAAGAAGGUUUUCGGAUCGUAAAACUCUGUUGUCAGAGAAGAACAAGUUGGAGAGUAACUGCUCCAGCCUUGACGGUAUCUGACCAGAAAGCCACGGCUAACUACGUGCCAGCCGCCGC
RNAcentral lists this ribosomal RNA (523 nucleotides) under uncultured bacterium. RNAcentral's name for it is "bacterial SSU rRNA". It matches the Rfam family "Bacterial small subunit ribosomal RNA", at positions 21 to 518 of the family's 1533-position model. The record is from RNAcentral.